ACCUCAGUGGCUCAGUCCGGUAGAGCGGCAGUCUUGUAAGCUGUUGGUCGCGGGAUCAAAUGCCGCCUGAGGCUCCA
Molecule: transfer RNA, 77 nt
Filed under: Bathyarchaeum sp. (SeqCode)
Lineage: Archaea; Thermoproteati; Candidatus Bathyarchaeota; Bathyarchaeia (SeqCode); Bathyarchaeales (SeqCode); Bathyarchaeaceae (SeqCode)
Also listed under: 1 other name
Description: Candidatus Bathyarchaeum sp. tRNA-Thr
Rfam family: tRNA
About the family: Transfer RNA (tRNA) molecules are approximately 80 nucleotides in length.
Source: RNAcentral